GGUCGUAUCGAUUCGAUUGGGAUACUCAUCAAUUAAAAUCGAAAAACCGAGAUGACUUCUCUUGUCAAUGGCGGGCCACAUACCACAUAAGCGGUAAGCUGAAAAGCCGGUGGAUUACAAAGGCGGAGAGCUCUCAAAUCUUAUAUGACUCGGAGUUUUCAUCACAUCAUCGGUACGACCUCUUAC
This 186-nucleotide small RNA is filed under the name Hoylesella marshii DSM 16973 = JCM 13450. RNAcentral describes it as "Prevotella marshii DSM 16973 Bacteroidales-1 6S-Bacteroidales RNA suggested". It matches the Rfam family "Bacteroidales-1 6S-Bacteroidales RNA suggested". Lineage: Bacteria; Pseudomonadati; Bacteroidota; Bacteroidia; Bacteroidales; Prevotellaceae. The record is from Rfam by way of RNAcentral.